This 472-nucleotide ribosomal RNA is filed under the name uncultured bacterium. RNAcentral describes it as "partial 16S ribosomal RNA". It matches the Rfam family "Bacterial small subunit ribosomal RNA", at positions 30 to 507 of the family's 1533-position model. The record is from RNAcentral.
AGUGAACGCUGGCGGUAGGCCUAACACAUGCAAGUCGAACGGCAGCACAGUAAGAGCUUGCUCUUACGGGUGGCGAGUGGCGGACGGGUGAGGAAUACAUCGGAAUCUACUUUUUCGUGGGGGAUAACGUAGGGAAACUUACGCUAAUACCGCAUACGACCUACGGGUGAAAGCAGGGGAUCUUCGGACCUUGCGCGAUUGAAUGAGCCGAUGUCGGAUUAGCUAGUUGGCGGGGUAAAGGCCCACCAAGGCGACGAUCCGUAGCUGGUCUGAGAGGAUGACCGGGCACAGGGGGACGGAGAGAGCGACCAGACGCAGAAGGGAGGCAGCAGUGGGGAAUAUGGCAAAACGGGCGGAGGGGGGAUGAAGCAACGCCGCGGGCGGGAUGACUGUCUUCGGGUAGUAAACCGCUGGCGACUGUGACGAAGCGUGAGGGACGGUAAUGGGUAAAGAAGCACCGGCUAACUACGUG